This 301-nucleotide ribosomal RNA is filed under the name uncultured bacterium. Its description in RNAcentral is "partial 16S ribosomal RNA". It matches the Rfam family "Bacterial small subunit ribosomal RNA", at positions 509 to 809 of the family's 1533-position model. The record is from RNAcentral.
CAGCAGCCACGGGAAUACGUAGGGUGCAAGCGUUAAUCGGAAUUACUGGGCGUAAAGCGUGCGCAGGCGGUUAUAUAAGACAGAUGUGAAAUCCCCGGGCUCAACCUGGGAACUGCAUUUGUGACUGUAUAGCUAGAGUACGGCAGAGGGGGAUGGAAUUCCGCGUGUAGCAGUGAAAUGCGUAGAUAUGCGGAGGAACACCGAUGGCGAAGGCAAUCCCCUGGGCCUGUACUGACGCUCAUGCACGAAAGCGUGGGGAGCAAACAGGAUUAGAUACCCCGGUAGUCCCUGUCUCUUAUCC